RNAcentral lists this ribosomal RNA (747 nucleotides) under uncultured prokaryote. Its description in RNAcentral is "bacterial SSU rRNA". It matches the Rfam family "Bacterial small subunit ribosomal RNA", at positions 721 to 1482 of the family's 1533-position model. The record is from RNAcentral.
GCAGCUUGCUGGACUGUAACUGACGNUGAGGCACGAAAGCGUGGGGAUCAAACAGGAUUAGAUACCCUGGUAGNCCACGCCNUAAACGAUGANUGCUAGCUGUUAGCGAUAUACUGUUAGCGGCACAGAGAAAUCGUUAAGCAUUCCACCUGGGGAGUACGCCGGCAACGGUGAAACUCAAAGGAAUUGACGGGGGCCCGCACAAGCGGAGGAACAUGUGGUUUAAUUCGAUGAUACGCGAGGAACCUUACCUGGGCUUAAAUUGCAGUGGAAUAACGUGGAAACAUGUUAGCCUUCGGGCCGCUGUGAAGGUGCUGCAUGGUUGUCGUCAGCUCGUGCCGUGAGGUGUCGGCUUAAGUGCCAUAACGAGCGCAACCCUCAUCGAUAGUUACUAACAGGUUAAGCUGAGGACUCUAUCGAGACUGCCGACGUAAGUCGUGAGGAAGGUGGGGAUGACGUCAAAUCAGCACGGCCCUUACGUCCAGGGCUACACACGUGUUACAAUGGGGGGUACAAAGGGCAGCUACCUGGCGACAGGAUGCUAAUCUCUAAAACCUCUCUCAGUUCGGAUUGGAGUCUGCAACCCGACUCCAUGAAGCUGGAUUCGCUAGUAAUCGCGCAUCAGCCACGGCGCGGUGAAUACGUUCCCGGGCCUUGUACACACCGCCCGUCAAGCCAUGGGAGCCGGGGGGACCUGAAGUAUGCAACCGUAAGGAGCGUCCUAGGGUAAAACUGGUGACUGGGGCU